Capsicum annuum is the source of this 881-nucleotide long non-coding RNA. RefSeq lists it as uncharacterized. The record is from RefSeq and is a predicted model, not a curated record. Lineage: Eukaryota; Viridiplantae; Streptophyta; Magnoliopsida; Solanales; Solanaceae. The transcript is spliced from 3 exons.
AUCCUAUGCAUCAUUUUCUACCUAACAUCAGUGAUUUGUUCUCUCUUUAUCUUCUAAUUUUCAGCUUUUCAUUAUUCAAGCUAAUAGUUUUCUCGAGAGUACACAAAAACACAGAGGAACAAAGCAACUAUAUCAGAAUUUUCAUCAAGUGAUAAGAUACUGAGAACUUGAAAGGGAGGAAACUUGAAAGGCACUUAGAGUCAUGGAGAAUGAAGGACAAAGAGAGAAAGGAGAAGCUAACAACUUUAUGGUGUCAUUUUCUGCUCUUCGCAAGGACGUUGUUGAGCAGUAUCUUGCUGAGCAAUUUGAGCAGUUGACUCUCCAAGCUAGCACAUCUACUCAUGAAAAUUAUUCCAAUUGAACUGGAGGUGAUGCAAAUAUGUUAUACAAAUUUGAAAGCUUCACCAUCAGCAGAAGUUGGAUGCUUUAUCACGCAACUCCUUGAAACCUCUCCGGAAGUUCUGAGAAAAUAUCUGAUUCACUUACAAGAGUACAUGGUAAUUGUUAUUGCCGCAAGAACUUCAGGGGCUCGAAACAUACAGGUCAUAAUGGAGUUUCUGUUGAUUAUUCUUACUGACAUGCCUAGAGACUUUAUUCAUCAUGACAAAUUAUUUGAUCUUUUGGCACGUAUUGGAGCACGUACCACCAAGGUAUCAACUCUUGUUUGUGACUUAGAAGAAAAAUCACGGAAUGAAGAGAGUAUUGAUGAAACAAGUCGUGCAACUCAAGACUUGCUGAAAAAUAUUGAACUCCUCAAGGAAGAUGUCAAAUAUGUUUAGCUGAAAGCCCCGGACCCAUGUCAAUGGAGCUUCCCCAUGAGUGAUGGACCGCUCUUUAUGCAUCUGCUACACAGACACUUAACUGAUUUGCUAGAUUCCGAU